This 520-nucleotide unclassified non-coding RNA is filed under the name uncultured Glomus. RNAcentral describes it as "SSU rRNA". It matches the Rfam family "Eukaryotic small subunit ribosomal RNA", at positions 569 to 1091 of the family's 1831-position model. The record is from RNAcentral. Lineage: Eukaryota; Fungi; Glomeromycota; Glomeromycetes; Glomerales; Glomeraceae.
AGCAGCCGCGGUAAUUCCAGCUCCAAUAGCGUAUAUUAAAGUUGUUGCAGUUAAAAAGCUCGUAGUUGAAUUUCGGGAUCAGUUGAUCGGUCGUGCCUCGGUACGUACUGGUCAAAUUGAUUCCUACCUUCUGACGAACCACGAUGUCAUUAAUUUGGUGUCGCGGGAAAUCAGGACUGUUACUUUGAAAAAAUUAGAGUGUUUAAAGCAGGCUCGCGCUUGAAUACAUUAGCAUGGAAUAAUGAAAUAGGACGUUUGAUUCUAUUUUGUUGGUUUCUAGGAUCGACGUAAUGAUUAAUAGGGAUAGUUGGGGGCAUUAGUAUUCAAUUGUCAGAGGUGAAAUUCUUGGAUUUAUUGAAGACUAACUACUGCGAAAGCAUUUGCCAAGGAUGUUUUCAUUAAUCAAGAACGAAAGUUAGGGGAUCGAAGACGAUCAGAUACCGUCGUAGUCUUAACCAUAAACUAUGCCGACUAGGGAUCGGAUGAUGUUAAUUUUUAAUGUACUCAUUCGGCGCCUUAA